RNAcentral lists this transfer RNA (77 nucleotides) under Candidatus Omnitrophota bacterium. Its description in RNAcentral is "tRNA-Pro". It matches the Rfam family "tRNA". Rfam says of the family: Transfer RNA (tRNA) molecules are approximately 80 nucleotides in length. Their secondary structure includes four short double-helical elements and three loops (D, anti-codon, and T loops). Further hydrogen bonds mediate the characteristic L-shaped molecular structure. tRNAs have two regions of fundamental functional importance: the anti-codon, which is responsible for specific mRNA codon recognition, and the 3' end, to which the tRNAs corresponding amino acid is attached (by aminoacyl-tRNA synthetases). tRNAs cope with the degeneracy of the genetic code in two manners: having more than one tRNA (with a specific anti-codon) for a particular amino acid; and 'wobble' base-pairing, i.e. permitting non-standard base-pairing at the 3rd anti-codon position. Lineage: Bacteria; Pseudomonadati; Candidatus Omnitrophota. The record is from RNAcentral.
CGAGGCGUAGCGCAGCUUGGAAGCGCACUCGGUUUGGGACCGAGGGGUCGUGGGAUCGAAGCCCACCGUCUCGACCA